This 303-nucleotide RNase P RNA is filed under the name Serratia odorifera DSM 4582. Its description in RNAcentral is "Bacterial RNase P class A". It matches the Rfam family "Bacterial RNase P class A", at positions 43 to 351 of the family's 367-position model. Rfam says of the family: Ribonuclease P (RNase P) is a ubiquitous endoribonuclease, found in archaea, bacteria and eukarya as well as chloroplasts and mitochondria. Its best characterised activity is the generation of mature 5'-ends of tRNAs by cleaving the 5'-leader elements of precursor-tRNAs. Cellular RNase Ps are ribonucleoproteins. Lineage: Bacteria; Pseudomonadati; Pseudomonadota; Gammaproteobacteria; Enterobacterales; Yersiniaceae. The record is from RNAcentral.
GAGGAAAGUCCGGGCUCCAUAGGGCAGGGUGCCAGGUAACGCCUGGGAGGCGCAAGCCUACGACUAGUGCAACAGAGAGCAAACCGCCGAUGGCCCGCGCAAGCGGGAUCAGGUAAGGGUGAAAGGGUGCGGUAAGAGCGCACCGCGCGGCUGGCAACAGUCCGUGGCACGGUAAACUCCACCCGGAGCAAGGCCAAAUAGGGGUUCGCAUGGUACGGCCCGUACUGAACCCGGGUAGGCUGCUUGAGCCAGUGAGCGAUUGCUGGCCUAGAGGAAUGACUGUCCACGACAGAACCCGGCUUA